GUUUGAGUGUUAGACCCAGCGAGAGAGAACCAACCAGAGACCGAUAUUAAAUCCACACAGGAGUUUAUUACCAGCCGGGACCUGAGCCGAGCAUCGGACUCGAGCCUCGACUGGGGGUUGACAAACAUGUUCUAUACACCUUUGAGGCCAACAGUUUCUAGGCGACCCCUAUGGGAUAGAACUAGUAAAGCAAGCAAAAGGUACCGAAGCGGAACGUCCUGCUGUUAGAACAUUUGUAAAACAAUAGUUGAUUAAUUGUUAUUUCUAAAGCGACCUUUUAAGGGGAGGAGGUUUCUAAGCUUCCUCCUUCUGAGUUCAUCUAAAGGACAGGGAGGUGGGUCGAGCAGCAAUAUGGAGUCUGUCUUCCUAACUAGGAUGUUUUGGGUAAGCAAGUAUUUAAGACUAUUUCAUGCCACCAUUAUGAAGAAGAAAAUGAACAGCAGCAACACAUAUGCUCCAUACGAGUCAGCCCAUUGUGCGCCUCUAACAACGUCACAUACUCUAAUUCCUGCGUGUACUGCUUCGCCAAUAUAGCAUUGAAUCAUACUCUUACAAUUCAACAUGGAGGAAUGUGCAGCAAACCCCCCAAAUCUUGAAUAUUUCUUCAUUUAUCACGAGUGAGACCAUUUGAACUAAGCAUCGUCUUUCCUUCAUAAAGCAGAAUUUAUUGUAUUGUCUUAUUUUUUCUAAUCAAUAAAUAUUACCC
Heterocephalus glaber (naked mole-rat) is the source of this 706-nucleotide long non-coding RNA. Lineage: Eukaryota; Metazoa; Chordata; Mammalia; Rodentia; Bathyergidae. The record is from Ensembl.